GUUGGAAAUUUGUCUGGCCGAAGAUACAAAUCCAGAAGAUCAGCCGAGUUGUCCUGCAAAGACCUGCAAUAGCAGUUCAAGUGGAGAUACUGAAGUGGACUCAGAUGACACAAUAAUAUUACAACACAGUCCUACAACAAGACGAAGAGUUGAAGACACCUCUCUUGCCAAAGUGGUUGCUGUCAUUGGAGAGGAUGCAUCAUCCGUUGAAGGUCAUGUGAAUGUCCUGCAUAUCCAGUACAGCAAGGUGCGAGAGGAUAUACUAAAGAAGUACCCUUUCUUGAAGACAACCUCAGGGUUGUUUGAUGUUGACCAAGUGCAUCCAUCACCUGUCAGUUUAAGCCAGCGCUUCAAGGACGGCGUUUACCAGUAUUGUGCCAAAGGUGCUUGAGCUUGUUCAAAGAAAAGCUCCAUUAGCCAAAGUCUCCAAA
Non-coding RNA from Oryzias latipes (Japanese medaka), 431 nucleotides. Lineage: Eukaryota; Metazoa; Chordata; Actinopteri; Beloniformes; Adrianichthyidae. The record is from RefSeq and is a predicted model, not a curated record.